RNAcentral lists this ribosomal RNA (464 nucleotides) under uncultured ammonia-oxidizing bacterium. Its description in RNAcentral is "bacterial SSU rRNA". It matches the Rfam family "Bacterial small subunit ribosomal RNA", at positions 198 to 643 of the family's 1533-position model. The record is from RNAcentral.
GGAGGAAAGUAGGGGAUCGAAAGACCUUAUGCUUUUGGAGCGGCCGAUGUCUGAUUAGCUAGUUGGUAAGGUAAUGGCUUACCAAGGCGACGAUCAGUAGUUGGUCUGAGAGGACGGCCAGCCACACUGGGACUGAGACACGGCCCAGACUCCUACGGGAGGCAGCAGUGGGGAAUUUUGGACAAUGGGCGCAAGCCUGAUCCAGCAAUGCCGCGUGAGUGAAGAAGGCCUUCGGGUUGUAAAGCUCUUUCAGUCGAGAAGAAAAGGUUGUGACUAAUAAUUGCAACUUAUGACGGUAUCGACAGAAGAAGCACCGGCUAACUACGUGCCAGCAGCCGCGGUAAUACGUAGGGUGCGAGCGUUAAUCGGAAUUACUGGGCGUAAAGGGUGCGCAGGCGGCUUUGUAAGUCAGAUGUGAAAUCCCCGGGCUUAACCUGGGAACUGCGUUUGAAACUACAAAGCUA